Long non-coding RNA from Macrosteles quadrilineatus (aster leafhopper), 426 nucleotides. RefSeq lists it as uncharacterized. The record is from RefSeq and is a predicted model, not a curated record. NCBI's taxonomy places the organism in Eukaryota, Metazoa, Arthropoda, Insecta, Hemiptera, Cicadellidae. The transcript has 2 exons.
CUGACUGUAAUUGUUGACCAUUGAGUAUCUAGGUUAGAAUGUCUAAAAAAGGCUACAAUUUUUACCAAAAUUAGUUUUGGAUUAGAAAAGCUUGGUGCAUCAAUGAAAUUCUUAAGCCUGAUAAAACAACCAGGUUUUGAGGAUGGUAUGGAUUCCGUGGGAGGUUGAACGUAUCUUCUACUACUCGUUCAUCUUCUGUCUGACGUUCCACUUGGGAUUGUGGAUAACUCAGCAGCAUAUGCAGGAGAGGUACCGGGACACCAUGUGGAUAUCCGAAGAGGAAGGAAUAACCACGGAAACGACAGAUCCGGACGAUCCUGAAAGAAUGAGCCCAGGCGGUUUACACUCUGCGAUAGACGACCUUUCAUCAGGCACCACUGAUGCAGGCGCCGAUUAUUAAAUAAAUCGACAUUUUAAAUUCUUGAA